Molecule: ribosomal RNA, 253 nt
Filed under: uncultured bacterium
Lineage: Bacteria
Description: partial 16S ribosomal RNA
Rfam family: Bacterial small subunit ribosomal RNA
Source: RNAcentral
UACGUAGGGGGCAAGCGUUGUCCGGAUUUAUUGGGCGUAAAGAGCUCGUAGGCGGCUUGUCGCGUCGAAUGUGAAAACCCGAGGCUCAACUUCGGGCUUGCAUUCGAUACGGGCAGGCUAGAGUUCGGUAGGGGAGACUGGAAUUCCUGGUGUAGCGGUGAAAUGCGCAGAUAUCAGGAGGAACACCGAUUGCGAAGGCAGCUCGCUGGGACGUAACUGACGCUGAGACGCGAAAGCGUGGGGAGCAAACAGG